This 459-nucleotide ribosomal RNA is filed under the name uncultured bacterium. RNAcentral describes it as "partial 16S ribosomal RNA". It matches the Rfam family "Bacterial small subunit ribosomal RNA", at positions 338 to 795 of the family's 1533-position model. The record is from RNAcentral.
CCUACGGGAGGCAGCAGUGAGGAAUAUUGGUCAAUGGGCGGGAGCCUGAACCAGCCAAGCCGCGUGAGGGAAGAAGGUACAGCGUAUCGUAAACCUCUUUUGUCAGGGAACAAAGGCGGGGACUAGUCCCCGGAUGAGGGUACCUGAAGAAAAAGCAUCGGCUAACUCCGUGCCAGCAGCCGCGGUAAUACGGAGGAUGCGGGCGUUAUCCGGAUUUAUUGGGUUUAAAGGGUGCGCAGGCGGCCUGUUAAGUCAGCGGUAAAAGCCCGGGGCUCAACCCCGGCGAGCCGUUGAAACUGGCGGGCUGGAGUGGGAGAGAGGUACGCGGAAUGCGCGGUGUAGCGGUGAAAUGCUUAGAUAUCGCGCAGAACCCCGAUUGCGAAGGCAGCAUACCGGCUCCACACUGACGCUGAGGCACGAAAGCGUGGGUAUCGAACAGGAUUAGAUACCCGUGUAGUC